Zonotrichia albicollis (white-throated sparrow) is the source of this 1986-nucleotide non-coding RNA. The record is from RefSeq and is a predicted model, not a curated record. NCBI's taxonomy places the organism in Eukaryota, Metazoa, Chordata, Aves, Passeriformes, Passerellidae.
GUUGCCUCAAGCUUUAACAAGGGAGGCUCAUGGUCUUGCACCCAUCUUCAAGACAAAUGCCCAGCUUCAAACCAGGAAAAAUAAGAAGGAGCACUGGCAGCAUGAGACCCUGGGGCCACUGACAGGCCCACCUGCUGACAGACUGGCCCUGCCCUGCCCAAGAAAACACCGUUUCCAAGCUAAUUAUUACUGCCCUUAUCAGUGGCACUGUCAGAGCUCCUGAUGCACUGCUGGGCUGGGCAAGAGGCACAGCAGCUUCCAGCAGCCACAAGCUACAUGAAGGUGCUCAUGGAGAAGAGGAAGAGAGAGGCAUGGGAAUUCCUUCUGCUUAAUGAACCCCAGUGCCCAGCUGCACCCUGCAGUGGCCCAUGGACAGCCUGUUGUGAGAGCAGGGUUUGCACCAAAGCAGGCAGCACAGCCUGCACAGUGCUGCCUCCUCAGCACGGGCAGAAGACAAAGGUAAUAAAGCACCGUGCUGGGUUUAGGCUCAACACUCAACUCCUCCUUUCUUUUUAGUGUAGAACACUCCCUUUGUACCCUUACAGGCUUCUUAAGUACUGUUAAGUUUCACAUGUGUUUAAAAAAAAAAAAAGGCAAAAAAGAUUCUUCAUUUGUACAAGAUGUGUUUCUAUCACACUCUCCACCCACUGCUCUCCUCCAAUCUCAACAAAAGCUGCACAGCCCUUGAGAGGGCAGCUGGUCACCCCCUGCCUCCAGCCCACAGCCCACUGCUGAGGCUGCAGGAACACCCAGGAACCCUGCCCAAGGACACAGUCCCUGUCCCCUGCCCAGGUGCCCACCCUGUGCCACACUGGAGGGCCAGAGAUCCUUGUUUUAGGCCGGUUGCAAACAUGCUACCUGCCAGAGGAGCAGGGAUGGAAGAAUCUGGAGGAACUAAAGCACUGUGAUAGGAAAAGCUGUAGGAGUUUGCCAGUAGCUUUAUUGUACAGUUAAUUAGCUCCCUCUGGAACAGCUCUGAUGGCAGGAAGAGAAAUACAUUCUGUUCUAGGGCUUGCUGCAACAGAGACCUGACCUGCACAUUUUGUAACAUCCCUCAGGAGCUACCUGGUCAUGCUCCCAAAAUCUGCUCGUGGAAGUGCUCCAGCCAGGCUCUUGGCUGAGGAAGCUGCAGGCUCACCUUCACUCCACGCUGCUGGCAGUGUAAAGGGGCUCACACACACACUGCAGCUUUUCCUGGCCAAAACUUUGAUAAAACACUAACUUGGGUCACGUAUACUCCCAGUCAAUUGUUCUUUUGAACAGAAAUGGUUAUGGACACCGCUGUAUAUUUGUGCUUUCAUAGCCAACCCCCACGUGUGAUUUUGCUGGGUGCUGGCUGCAGGACAGAAGGGAACUCUUGGGAGUCUCCUUGCAGGAUGCUGCAUCCCUUCCAGGAGAGCUUCUCAUGCUUCCGUGAGCACCCUGUGUUAGGCAGUGACCCUCACAAGUGCCCCAGCUGCAGCACAGCAGCUGCUCCUCAUCGGGCAGGGUGUGUACAAAGCAUCACAAACAGCCAUUUUUGCUGGCCAUGUUUUUAUUUGUUUUUAGUUUUAAACAGGGGAGCCAAUGAUACAUCCAGUAUUUCAAAAAAUCAGAAGGUAAAACAAAUUUUUAAAAGACCGAGAUGCUACAUGCUAUAUUUAACCUAAUUUUAUUCAUGCUUGCUUUGGAGGGGGGCUGGGAGUGGGACAGGAAUCAUUCGUAAAAACAUACAGUAAAAACAAAAUGUCUCACCAUAUAGAACUUUAACCUACAGUAAUGUUGUACCUUAAUUAUUUCCAUGCACACAACUAACAUUACAAAAUUUUUAAAAAAUGAACACAAUUAAGACUUCUAGGAGCAUUUGAUAAUAAAGCAAUUCCUAAUUUCUUUUGUAGAGAUCAAGCACCUCCAAUUACAAAUUCCUAUACACAGUGAGUGCUUUACUUGAAAUGAAAACUAAAAAAUAAAAAUGUAUUGGAUAGCCUCAGAAUAAGCCGAUGUUAA